Passer domesticus (house sparrow) is the source of this 6257-nucleotide long non-coding RNA. RefSeq lists it as uncharacterized. The transcript is spliced from 3 exons. The record is from RefSeq and is a predicted model, not a curated record. NCBI's taxonomy places the organism in Eukaryota, Metazoa, Chordata, Aves, Passeriformes, Passeridae.
UUUGUGUUGGAAAGGGCCUUAAAGAUCAUGUAGUUCCAUCCUGCCAGCCAUAUACAGAGUCACUAGACCAGGUUGCUCAAAGCCCCAUCUAAUACGGCCUUGAACACUCCGCCCACAACUUCUCUGGGCAACCUGUUCCAGUGGCUCACCACCCUCAUAAUGAAGAAUCUCUUCCUACCAUCUAAUCUAAACCUACUCUCUUUCAGUUUGAAGCCAUUCCGCAUCAUCCUGUAAGAAAUUUCUCUCCAUCUUUCUUGUAAGCUCCCUUCAGAUGCUGGAAGACCACAAUUAAGUAAUUCCAAAGACUUCUCUUUUCCAGGCUGAACAAUCCCAAUUCUCUCAGCCUUUCCCCAUAGAAAAGGUGCUCCACUUCCCUAAUUAUCUUGGUGGCCUCCUCUGGACUUGCUCCAGCAGGGAAAUCCUUCCUGAGCUGGGGCCCCUGGAGCUGGAUGCAGCACAGAAAAGUGGAGUAGAGGGGCAGAAUCUCCUCCCUCACUCUGCUGGCCACGCUUCUUUUGGUGCAGCCUGGGACACAAUUGGCAUUCUGGGAUGCAAUCACACACUUUACUGGCUCACAUCCAGCCCCUCACUCCCCAGCACCCCCAAGUCCUUCUUGGCAGGGCUGCUCUGCAUCUGUUCAUCCCCCAGCCUGUGCUGGUACCAGGGCUUGCCCCAACCCACAUGCAGCACCUUGCACUUGGUCUUAUUGAGCCUCACGAGGUUCCCACAGGCCACUUCUCCAGCUUUUCCAGGUCCCUCUGGAUAGCAUCCCAUCCCUCAUGUGUCUCAACUGCAGUGCUCAGCUUGGUACCAUCUGCAAGUUUGCUGAAGCAGAAGGUUGAGGCAGCCUCAGGCACCUCAAGUGUUGGCCACCAAAUAAUUCGCCAUAAGUACAAGAGCACCACCUUGUGAUCCCUGAAAGCCAGCAUGCCAUCUGGAGGAGGAGGAUGGCAGCAGUGGGCUCCUGCCACCCCCACGACUCCUCUGUCCCUGGGACAGCCACCACCAUGCAAACCUGGAUGUUUUGCUGCUGCAUUGCUUACUGCCUUAGCAAUGUGAAAGAGCACAGAGACAAACGUAGGACAACUUACCACUGAUAUUUGAUCUGGGGGAAGAUGUGGUCCUGCUAACAUUUCCUGGUGUGCAUGUCUGGGAGAAGAACAACUUCUAGUGCAAGCAGUGUUAUACAUCCACCCAAAAGGAUGUGUCAGUAGCAGCAAUAAAUCACCUGGCUGCAACUGCAGCCACCAACCAAAUGCCCAUACAGCACAACAGGAUGCAAGAUUUAUUAAACUGGACUGCUGUACACCAGGCAAAAUCCUGGGCUAUGGCAACAGAUUUAUUUUUCUGGGUGCUAACACUGGUCAGACAGCACAGUCUUGCUCUGCAUAGACGAUCAGCCUUUGUCUUUUGCUCUGUCUUCAAUAGGACCAUUAAAAUGGCCAGCCCUGAGUUACAGUUCCAGCUCUUAAUGAAAAGACUGUGCUUCAGACAAAAAAGAUAGCUUUUCCAAUUUUUAGAAAUCAGCACACACACUCAGAGAUGCCUUUCAUGUUAUCGCUAAAUUUCCAUUGCUGUGGGGAAUUUAAAAAAGUUUAUACAAGCUGAGGAUGCUUGUCUGGCAAAUAAGGUGUAAAGAUCAUACAUAAAAUGCAAAACUACCUAGAUGUUAUCUGAAACAAUAUUCUGGAACAACAAAAAUCUGGCAUCAGAAUCAUGUUUGCAAAAGAAAAGUUGGCAACUUAAGAAGUCCUGAAAUACUGUCCAGAAAUUUUAUUUUUUUUAACAUAUAUCUGUGGUCAAAUCAAUGAAAAGCACUUUGGAAGUGCUGGAUUAAUUCAAGUCCUACUCUGGUAAUUAUGUUAGGAAAGUGAAGGAAUCUAAAAAAUCCAAAACAUCACCUCCUACUCAUUUACACAGAAAAAUUGGAAACCAUUUGAAUCCUUGCCAUAUUAUUGACACAAGAUAUUUUUAUAAAUUCAAAUAAUUCGAUUCCAAAAGCCUUUAGGUGCCUGUGGCAUAGCUCAAGCAGAAUUUAGAUGCCUGCAUUCAAGGGAGUGAGUCACAAAAAUUCUGCCUGUGGCAGGCAUACCUGAAAGGCACCUAAGCUGUCAUCAGUAAAGGUAUUUAGGUACCCAAAGUACUUCUAAUGUGUAUUCCCAGAGGCCUUCUUAUCUUGGAUGAGAUGAGUGUCUCAGCAGAUAUUCUGUUUCACGGUGUGUUUAGGCAUUCUCUAACUAUUUGGUGGGCUGCCUAGAAUCCUUUGUUUAUUAGGGAUGGUUACACAACACCCAGCCCGUGCCAACACCACUGAGCCCAGCACAAAGCAGGGAGUUCAAGUGCCUGCUGCUAUUACAAAGUCAUGCAGAUGAACUCCCCUGUGAAAUGGUGUCCAUAAUUUGCUCUAUGUGUAAGGUGAGGAACAGUUCCAUUGCUGUAGGCAUCUUCUUUUAACACUGUUAUUCAAACAUGAGCAGCAACUGAAGUGGCUGCAGGUUUUCAGAGCUACAAACCCCUCUCACUCAGCUGUCAGAAGCCCUGGAACAGGGAACUUCAGACUCAUGUCUUGCUUCAGUAUUUUCUCUGCACAGCUUCGCUUGGCACCCUGGCUGUUGUACAUCCCACAGAAUGGUGCCUAACUCUUCUCCUCAGCUGUAUAAGAUAACUAAGGUGUAUCACUCAGAACUGCAGAUUUCUGCCUCUGAGGUGGCACUGGAAAGUCAGGUUGGGUGUCAUCAUGCUGGGGUCCCUGUCUAUCUGGGCUUUGGUGAUCUUUCAUCCUAACACAUGUGAAUACAAAUCCAGGUUCCGGCAUCCACUUUUCCAGAAAUGCUAAAUAAAGAAAAGACUGUCCUUAUAUUGCCAUUCAUUCCCAGAGAUAGUUCUGGAGGCCUUAGUAUGUAUACAUAGUACCAGUAUAUAUGACAUUUCAUGACCAAAGGAAUAUUCUGAAACUUUGAGUUAUUACUAUUUAAAAAAUAAAAAAUAAAAAAAGGAACCGCUUUUGAAGGUUACCCCUUUUAAAACUAAAAGACCCUAAAUGGAGCACCUUGGAUCACAGCAAUCUUACCAAGCAUUCCUUCUGCUACACUGCAAAAUGUCCUCACGAGUCUGAAAUCAUUACUGGGAUGUUUUUAGACACUAGACAGCAUGGCAGUACUCUCUGUAAAUGAGAAACGUUCUAAUUAUAGCGAAGCAAUACAGGAACUGUAAUGAUGAGGACCAAACCUCGUAUGUCAGUAUCUCAGCACUGUGGCUGGGAAGGACCAAAGGAAGUUGUAACUCUGCAGACCCAAAUUAAGAUAACAGCUUCUAGAAGAAUGUGACCAGAAAUGUGAUUAAAAAUAGCACAUCCAUAACAGACAUAUUCUGAAAUGUGAUUAAAAAUAGCAUAUCCAUAACAAACAGCUCUUAAUGUUGUGAAUAAAUAUGUUCACAUCAGUUGGCAGAAUUUUUUGCUUACAUGUUGUGAAUAAAUAUGUUCACAUCAGUUGGCAGAAUUUUUUCUUUACAUGAAGACACUUGAAAAUUAUUGUGCCUAAACCAUAAGCCAUGGAAAAUGUUCCUUUGUUUAGGGCAAGAAGAGAGACACAGUAAAAUGAAGGUCAUUAUUUCUUUAGGUAUCUACUCUAGUGGUGCUGUUCCCUCUUCACAAUUUUUUCCCUGUUUGCAUUGGGGUAUUACCCUACUAUGGGCCACUCCAGUACUAUCAAAACCACGCCAGUGGCAGAUGUCCAGGAGCCUAUUCCACCUUCUCACAAAACCCACAGUCCUGACCAGUUGCUGCUCAGGACAAUCAGGCACCACACCCUCUUCCUGAGAAGGGACUGUCACCGGCCCAGGGACAGAGGUUGAAAUUAAAGUUCCAGCUAACAGAGCUUCCACAGGUACUUGAAAUGCUGCACUAAUUGUGGCUCUGUGUGUAUCUACCUCCCGGUGGCAGCUCUUUGAGCUCUGAAGGUCACGAACGCUCACAAAUAUUUAGCAGUAAUAACCCACCAGAAAUGUCAAAGCCAGGAAGUGAAAUGCUGCACCCACAAUUCUCUAUGCAUUGUAUUUCACUUUCAGCAAAGCAUAACAAAGCAAAGCAAAUAGCCUCAGAAAAGUUCAUUUAGCCAGUUAGAGAAAGAUGGGAUUUUUUUUUUUAGUAUGAUUCUGGCUUAUGUAUGUAUCCAUUUUCGCUGCCUGACCUUUUCCACAUCAACCUCUGUUGCUCAGAAAAUAGGCUGUCUUUUAUUCAUGCUGGGUUUCCACCUGACAUCAAAGAGGUUUGCAUAUGUGGAUCAAGAGAUCAAAGGUGCUGAUAAUCCCCUGAAAUCUGCUUGGUUGUGCCAUUCAAAUUAAUACACUGGUAAGACUUAGCUUUGGUAGUUAUUAUAUUAAAGAAAACAGUGAGUUUGGGAAGUUUUGCUAUCAGGGUUUGUUGUUAUUCACAGGUUUGAGACAAACUCAACUUCUAAAUAUCCCUAAUCAGCCUAACUCUCAUGUGGAUUUCUCUUCUUUAGCAAUUGGUGCUACCUUUAAUUUCUUUUCUAAAAAGUGAAAAUGCGAGCUAGGAAAAGUUUGCAGCCUGUAAACAGGCACUCUCAGUCUGUUGAGACUUGAACAGAUGCACGAUUCAUGAACUGAAACUACAUGAUAUAACAACUCAACCAUUUAUUGACUUGAUGAAGCAAAGCUUGUUACUAACAAUAGGCUAUUCAGACCAUCUCUCUUUUCUGAUAAACAGGACAAGAAACAAUUUGGAAUUCUAGUUUUUGAAAUACAGAUGAACCCAGUUUAGCUCUUGCCAUAGAUGGAAAAUAUUUUCUGGUUUAUUCUUCAGAUAAUUUUGAACUUAAAGUGGUUUUUAAAAUACUUCUGCAGCUUUUCCUAGAGAAAGAUAUUCCAGAGCUAUGGAAAAACUUGACAUUAGUUCAUAUUCUCCAUCAGCUUGCUCAUUUCAAGGUUAUAACAAAGUUCAUCCCAAAAUGAUCUCAAUAAUUAAUGGCAGUAAACAGCUGUGGUCCCAAUACAUGGAAUAGUUCACAAUGUACAUGACUCAUAAUUAAUUCAUUCAAUCCAAGUCCUUGAAUUAUCAAAUGGAAAACAAGAAGCGUGGAACAAAAUUGCUGCAAUGUUUUAAGAGAUAAUCUACUUUGAAAAGUCGCAACAUUCUGAAUAACCUCACAAUAAUUUAAGAUGGUCUGCAGCAACAACAAAAAGCAGUAAAUGGAGAUCUUGUUGCAAAUUGUGUUGCAAUCCAUGUUAGAUUCUCAGUGAUGCUGGAAAAGCAUGUAUCUUUAUAUCUGAGAAACAUGCAUAUUGAAAAGUAAAUAGUUGGAUGAAAACAAGUCCCAGCCAACACUGAUACAAAGUUUGACCUCCUGAUUUCACUAGCAAAACUGGAAAAAGUGCUGCAAUCACUGCAACAGAGAAGAGCAACGCACAAAAGGUACAGCAGUUUAAGACCUGCCAUGGAUGUAGUUUUUUAAUGCAAAGCAGACACUGAAUUUUUUUGCAUGAUUAAGAGGCAUUUGGGGAAGGACGCAGCUGCAUAAAUGAAGAAUAUUCCGCCAAAUGACUCAGGAGGUCACUGCUGCAGAAACAUGUUUUUAUUUGGGUGGGAAGACAUUAUCUAUUUGGUAAAAAUGCAUCGAGACUCUUGAUUUCCAUCUAAUUUGGCUAUAUAGACACCUCAAGCAUCUCCAAUAGGAAGGACUGGCACAUACCCAUAGAAACCGUGAUGUACUCCAGAUUGGAGAAAAUUUUAUUGGGUAAUCCCAGCACAAAUUCACUUGAAUAAAUAAGCUUUCCAAGAGAACUAUACAAAAUUUUUUAAUUUAUUGGUAGUCUAACUUAAUUACAAGCCUGUAUAUUAUCCUUAAGUGGGAACUGCUUUUGUUCUUCUUGUGGUAUUUGGUUGAUUUUUUAUGACAUAUCCAAACAGAUGUAGAAACACGAGUGUGAGUGUCAGCAUGCAUCUCUAAUCUAGUGGGUUGGGUGUCCUCUUGGAAAUCUGCUGCCUUGGGUCCUCAGUAAUGUUUCCAUGUGAAAAGAUGUCAUCAGGAGAGGAAGACUACUUUCUCCUUCCCUCUUCCCACAUUCAGUUGGCUGAGUUACUAGUCCAGGGUAUGGGAAGCUUUAACUUGGCCCCCACAUCCAACAUGAGCUAUAUGUCAAGAUCCUGGAAAACAAGUCCUGAAACCUUCGGGUAAAUUCAGCUGAGGUGAUAUGAGCAGUUCCCAUCCCAUGAGGUUUGCCCUGCAAGGCAGAAU